AGCGUACACGGUGGAUGCCCUGGCAGUCAGAGGCGAUGAAGGACGUGCUAAUCUGCGAAAAGCGUCGGUAAGGUGAUAUGAACCGUUAUAACCGGCGAUGUCCGAAUGGGGAAACCCAGUGCAAUUCGUUGCACUAUCGUUAACUGAAUACAUAGGUUAACGAGGCGAACCGGGGGAACUGAAACAUCUAAGUACCCCGAGGAAAAGAAAUCAACCGAGAUUCCCCCAGUAGCGGCGAGCGAACGGGGAGCAGCCCAGAGUCUGAAUCAGCUUGUGUGUUAGUGGAACGGUCUGGAAAGUCCGACGGUACAGGGUGAUAGUCCCGUACACCAAAAUGCACAGGCUGUGAACUCGAAGAGUAGGGCGGGACACGUGGUAUCCUGUCUGAAUAUGGGGGGACCAUCCUCCAAGGCUAAAUACUCCUGACUGACCGAUAGUGAACCAGUACCGUGAGGGAAAGGCGAAAAGAACCCCGGCGAGGGGAGUGAAAAAGAACCUGAAACCGUGUACGUACAAGCAGUGGGAGCACCUUCGGGUGUGACUGCGUACCUUUUGUAUAAUGGGUCAGCGACUUAUAUUCUGUAGCAAGGUUAACCGUAUAGGGGAGCCGCAGGGAAACCGAGUCUUAACUGGGCGUUAAGUUGCAGGGUAUAGACCCGAAACCCGGUGAUCUAGCCAUGGGCAGGUUGAAGGUUGGGUAACACUAACUGGAGGACCGAACCGACUAAUGUUGAAAAAUUAGCGGAUGACUUGUGGCUGGGGGUGAAAGGCCAAUCAAACCGGGAGAUAGCUGGUUCUCCCCGAAAGCUAUUUAGGUAGCGCCUCGUGAACUCAUCUUCGGGGGUAGAGCACUGUUUCGGCUAGGGGGUCAUCCCGACUUACCAACCCGAUGCAAACUACGAAUACCGAAGAAUGUUAUCACGGGAGACACACGGCGGGUGCUAACGUCCGUCGUGAAGAGGGAAACAACCCAGACCGCCAGCUAAGGUCCCAAAGUCAUGGUUAAGUGGGAAACGAUGUGGGAAGGCACAGACAGCCAGGAUGUUGGCUUAGAAGCAGCCAUCAUUUAAAGAAAGCGUAAUAGCUCACUGGUCGAGUCGGCCUGCGCGGAAGAUGUAACGGGGCUAAACCAUGCACCGAAGCUGCGGCAGCGACACUAUGUGUUGUUGGGUAGGGGAGCGUUCUGUAAGCCUGCGAAGGUGUGCUGUGAGGCAUGCUGGAGGUAUCAGAAGUGCGAAUGCUGACAUAAGUAACGAUAAAGCGGGUGAAAAGCCCGCUCGCCGGAAGACCAAGGGUUCCUGUCCAACGUUAAUCGGGGCAGGGUGAGUCGACCCCUAAGGCGAGGCCGAAAGGCGUAGUCGAUGGGAAACAGGUUAAUAUUCCUGUACUUGGUGUUACUGCGAAGGGGGGACGGAGAAGGCUAUGUUAGCCGGGCGACGGUUGUCCCGGUUUAAGCAUGUAGGCUGAUUGUCCAGGCAAAUCCGGAUAAUCAAGGCUGAGGUGUGAUGACGAGGCACUACGGUGCUGAAGUAACAAAUGCCCUGCUUCCAGGAAAAGCCUCUAAGCAUCAGGUAACAUUAAAUCGUACCCCAAACCGACACAGGUGGUCAGGUAGAGAAUACCAAGGCGCUUGAGAGAACUCGGGUGAAGGAACUAGGCAAAAUGGUGCCGUAACUUCGGGAGAAGGCACGCUGGUGUGUAGGUGAAGUCCCUGCGGAUGGAGCUGAGACCAGUCGAAGAUACCAGCUGGCUGCAACUGUUUAUUAAAAACACAGCACUGUGCAAACACGAAAGUGGACGUAUACGGUGUGACGCCUGCCCGGUGCCGGAAGGUUAAUUGAUGGGGUUAUCCGUAAGGAGAAGCUCUUGAUCGAAGCCCCGGUAAACGGCGGCCGUAACUAUAACGGUCCUAAGGUAGCGAAAUUCCUUGUCGGGUAAGUUCCGACCUGCACGAAUGGCGUAAUGAUGGCCAGGCUGUCUCCACCCGAGACUCAGUGAAAUUGAACUCGCUGUGAAGAUGCAGUGUACCCGCGGCAAGACGGAAAGACCCCGUGAACCUUUACUAUAGCUUGACACUGAACAUUGAGCCUUGAUGUGUAGGAUAGGUGGGAGGCUUUGAAGCGUGGACGCCAGUCUGCGUGGAGCCAACCUUGAAAUACCACCCUUUAAUGUUUGAUGUUCUAACGUUGGCCCCUGACCGGGGUUGCGGACAGUGUCUGGUGGGUAGUUUGACUGGGGCGGUCUCCUCCCAAAGCGUAACGGAGGAGCACGAAGGUUAGCUAAUCCUGGUCGGACAUCAGGAGGUUAGUGCAAUGGCAUAAGCUAGCUUGACUGCGAGCGUGACGGCGCGAGCAGGUGCGAAAGCAGGUCAUAGUGAUCCGGUGGUUCUGAAUGGAAGGGCCAUCGCUCAACGGAUAAAAGGUACUCCGGGGAUAACAGGCUGAUACCGCCCAAGAGUUCAUAUCGACGGCGGUGUUUGGCACCUCGAUGUCGGCUCAUCACAUCCUGGGGCUGAAGUAGGUCCCAAGGGUAUGGCUGUUCGCCAUUUAAAGUGGUACGCGAGCUGGGUUUAGAACGUCGUGAGACAGUUCGGUCCCUAUCUGCCGUGGGCGCUGGAGAAUUGAGGGGGGCUGCUCCUAGUACGAGAGGACCGGAGUGGACGCAUCACUGGUGUUCGGGUUGUCAUGCCAAUGGCACUGCCCGGUAGCUAAAUGCGGAAGAGAUAAGUGCUGAAAGCAUCUAAGCACGAAACUUGCCCCGAGAUGAGUUCU
RNAcentral lists this ribosomal RNA (2771 nucleotides) under Klebsiella pneumoniae. Its description in RNAcentral is "bacterial LSU rRNA". It matches the Rfam family "Bacterial large subunit ribosomal RNA". Lineage: Bacteria; Pseudomonadati; Pseudomonadota; Gammaproteobacteria; Enterobacterales; Enterobacteriaceae. The record is from RNAcentral.